GUUCGAAUGAGUUAUUUUUUUAAUGAGAUUCUAAACUUGUUAUUUCUGCUACUAAGGAUGCUUUCUGUCCUUUUACCAUCUAAGGCAUUACGCUUGAUAUUUCUCAUUGUACUAGGGAGUUUAUUUUUGUAUUUUCUAGCAUGUCUAUAGGCAUUAUAACCAGGUGGCCCAUGCUUUGGCAACCACUACAUGACCUUCCAGCAUCUUUU
Molecule: unclassified non-coding RNA, 209 nt
Filed under: Hevea brasiliensis (rubber tree)
Lineage: Eukaryota; Viridiplantae; Streptophyta; Magnoliopsida; Malpighiales; Euphorbiaceae
Source: RNAcentral